AACGAACGCUGGCGGCAGGCCUAACACAUGCAAGUCGAACGAAGUCUUCGGACUUAGUGGCGCACGGGUGAGUAACACGUGGGAAUAUACCUUACGCUGGGGGAUAACAUCGGGAAACUGAUGCUAAUACCGCAUACGCUCUUCGGGGGAAAGAUUUAUCGUCGAAGGAUUAGCCGGCGUCCGAUUAGCCUGGUGGUGAGGUAAUGGCUCAACACGGCUCAGAUCGUUAGCUGGUCUGAGAGGAUGGCCAGCGACACUGGGACUGGGACACGGCCCAGACUCCUACGGGAGGGGGGAGUGGGGAAUAUUGGACAAUGGGCGCAAGCAUGAUCCAGCCAUGCCGCGAGAGUGAUGAAGGCCGGAGGGUUGUAAAGCUCUUUCACCCACGACGAUGAUGACGGUAGUGGGAGAAGAAGCCCCGGCUAACUUCGUG
This 433-nucleotide ribosomal RNA is filed under the name uncultured bacterium. RNAcentral's name for it is "partial 16S ribosomal RNA". It matches the Rfam family "Bacterial small subunit ribosomal RNA", at positions 29 to 507 of the family's 1533-position model. The record is from RNAcentral.